This 485-nucleotide ribosomal RNA is filed under the name uncultured bacterium. RNAcentral's name for it is "SSU rRNA". It matches the Rfam family "Bacterial small subunit ribosomal RNA", at positions 26 to 523 of the family's 1533-position model. The record is from RNAcentral.
AGGACGAACGCUGGCGGCGUGGAUUAGGCAUGCAAGUUGAGCGACGGUUAAGAGCUUGCUCUUAAUACGGAGCAGCGAACGGGUGAGUAACACGUGAACAAUCUGUCCCUUCAUUCCGGAUAAUUGGUCGAAAGGCCUUGUAAUACGGGCGAGGGUCUCUGGAAGGCAUCUUUUGGAGAAGGAAGGCGCAAGCCGUGCAGGGAGGAGUUCGCGGCCUAUCAGUUAGUUGGUGGGGUAAUGGCCUACCAAGACGACGACGGGUAGCUGGUCUGAGAGGAUGGUCAGCCACAUUGGAACUGAGACACUGUCCAGACUCCUACGGGAGGCUGCAGUCGAGAAUCUUGGGCAAUGCACGAAAGUGUGACCCAGCGACGCCGCGUGAAGGAUGAAGGCCCUCUGGGUCGUAAACUUCUUUUAAGGGGGAAGAAUAAAUGACGGUACCCUUGAAUAAGCCACGGCUAACUACGUGCCAGCAGCCGCGGUAA